This 476-nucleotide ribosomal RNA is filed under the name uncultured bacterium. RNAcentral describes it as "SSU rRNA". It matches the Rfam family "Bacterial small subunit ribosomal RNA", at positions 26 to 518 of the family's 1533-position model. The record is from RNAcentral.
AGGAUAAACGCUGGCGGCGUGCCUAACACAUGCAAGUCGAACGCGCUUUCGGGCUUCGGUGCGAGAGCGAGUGGCGGACGGGUGAGUAACACAUGGGUACCUACCUUGGAGUGAGGGAUACCGGCGAGAAAUCGCCGACAAUACCGCAUAGGCUUCUUCACAAGGGAAGCAAAGUGACGCGAGUCACGCUUUGAGAUGGGCCUGUGGCCGAUUAGCUAGUUGGGGGGGUAACGGCUUCCCAAGGCGACGAUCGGUAGCUGGUCUGAGAGGACGAUCAGCCACACUGGGAUUGAGAACGGCCCAGACUCCUACGGGGGCAGCAGUGAGGAAUUUUCCGCAAUGGAGGCAACUCUGACGGAGCAACGCCGCGUGCAGGAGGAAGGUUUUCGGAUCGUAAACUGCUUUUCGUCGGGGAAGAGGAACGGACGGUACCCGAGGAAUCGAGCCCCGGCUAACCUACGCGCCAGCACGGCCGC